GACGGAGGGUGCUAGCGUUGUUCGGAAUCACUGGGCGUAAAGGGCGCGUAGGCGGCUUCAGGUGUCGGAUGUGAAAGCCCGGGGCUCAACCCCGGAGGUGCAUCCGAAACUCUGGGGCUGGAGGCCGGAAGAGGAGGGUGGAAUACCCAGUGUAGAGGUGAAAUUCGUAGAUAUUGGGUGGAACACCGGUGGCGAAAGCGGCUCUCUGGUCCGGUCCUGACGCUGAGGCGCGAAGGCGUGGGGAGCAAACAGG
This 253-nucleotide ribosomal RNA is filed under the name uncultured bacterium. RNAcentral's name for it is "partial 16S ribosomal RNA". It matches the Rfam family "Bacterial small subunit ribosomal RNA", at positions 524 to 776 of the family's 1533-position model. The record is from RNAcentral.